Long non-coding RNA from Peromyscus californicus insignis, 7533 nucleotides. RefSeq lists it as uncharacterized. The transcript is spliced from 3 exons. The record is from RefSeq and is a predicted model, not a curated record. NCBI's taxonomy places the organism in Eukaryota, Metazoa, Chordata, Mammalia, Rodentia, Cricetidae.
GAUAAGGGGAAGAGAUGGCCUUCAGGAUAUGGACAGUCUCUGUUGCCUGGCUACUUCCUUUCCUCCUUAGUCACACACACCCCUUGGGAACAGGGACUGUGUUUGUACCCUACAGCAUUUUCUGUAUCUGGGAGUUGAAACGUAGUAGGCGCUCAACAAACCUUGUUGCAUCCCUGUCGGAUAAAUAGAACUCUGCUCUUCAUGGAGAACAGCUUUGCAGCAGUCACUGCUACCUGCCCGGCACAUCGUCAGGGUGCAGUCAUGUGAGAGGGGGGAAGGAGGAGCUUCCCACUGAGCCUAGGGCAGGGCAGGGCUCAGGACCACUUCCAGAAGGAGAGGCCGGAGCUGAGAACCAAAUAACAGCUGAGAGUCAGCCAGGUGAGAAACAGCCGGGCCACUGGAAGAAGGAUGCUCUCAGUAUUGACAGAAGCCACAUAGGGCACUACCUGAUGGACAGAAUGUUCCGGGAGCAGCGGUAGGAGGUGAGGCAGAGAGGGCUGGGGCAGGCAGCCAAACUCAUCUUUCUCAACUCUGCCUUCCUUAACUUCCCUAAUUCUGCAGAAGGUGCCCAUUUUCCUGGAGACCUUUCUGCAGAGCAAUCUUGAACACUUCGCCCCCAGGGCAGUGUCUCUCUCCCUCACAGUUCUGGUCUUCCAGGUUCUGUGCUCUCUGUCCACCUGGGUUCUCUAUCCUUUCCCAGGACUCCACUCUCUCAUUCUGUUGCCUGGUUAUUGUCCUGGCCUCUGAACUGGUCUUGUUUGUCUCCAAUCCAUCCUGUACACACCUGCCAGAUUCUUCUUUCUGGAGUCCAAACUCUGCUCCUGGAUGGUGCCCUCCCCUGUUCAAUAGUUUUCCAUGACCCCCAGGUAUCAUCUCUACUCAGCAUCCUAGGACCUCACCUGUAGAUAUUGUCUCUACUCAACACCCUAGGACCUCACCUGUACUUAUCUCUACUCAGCAUCCUAAGACCUCACCUGUAGGUGUUGUCUCUACUCAGCAUCCUAGGAUCUUACUCUGUAUAUUAUAUCCAACAGUCUGGACUGUUUCGUCAAUGUCCUUAUCCACACAGUGAGCAAAGCUAGACUUUACUCCUCUCCAAACGUUCCUGAGUUCUACUUUAAUACAUGUCCCAGAUCUCCAGAUCACUAUGGAGUCUUACCUGUGCCUCAAGGCCAGUCUUACCCUUGGCUUUUUCUGAAGCAUUUCCUGAUUCCCUCAGAUCUUUACUCUAGCUCCUGCCUCAGUCACAGUAUGGUCCAGCCUUCCUGCUGAACUAUUUCUCCUGGAUGAAAGAAUUUUCACCAAAUCAGUGGCCUCACUGAGGGCCACAUACAUAUGCUAUAGCCAGGGGACCCAGACAGAUCUCUGCCCUAGCAACCACUACUCUUAGGCUCUAAGAGAAACUUACAGGAAGAACAGGGAAGAAAGCAGAGGUACGUUUAGUAGAAGCUAAGCAUGUUUCACCUGCCUCCAUAAGCCCCUUAUGGAGAACUGGGUUCACCUGGACACAGCCUGGGGGUUUCAUUCUCCCCAAACCUCUGCUGUUCUUGUGUGUGUCCUGAUCAGCCACAUGGGAGGACAGUAGAGGGUGCCUGAGCCCACCAUCAAGUAGAAUCUGCCACAUGAAUGGGGCAAAGUGCCUGGCCAACCCUGUCCUGGCCCAGCUCUAUACACAGCAGCUAUAGCCACCCGCAAAUAUAGUCUAAUAUGUGUCCUGCACCCUAACCAGCCUUUGGGCCUCCAGCUCGCAAAUGAUGACAUGGAGAUUUAUUAGUUAUAAAAGCUUGGCCUUAACUUAGGCUUGUUCCCAGCUAGCUCUUAUAACUUAAAUUAACCUGUUCCUAUUAAUCUGUGUUCUGCCAUGUGACUCGGUUACCUCUCCUCUGUACUGUAUGUCCAACUUCUUCAGUGUCUCACAGGCGUCUCUCUAGUGUGCCUAGAUUCAUCUCCAGUUCCUCUGUCUCCCUGGAAGUCCCGCCUAUUCUCUCCUGCCUAGCUAUUGGCCAUUCAGCUCUUUAUCAAACCAAUCAGAAGGCGCCUUGGCAAAGACACAUCUUUACAGUGUACAGAAAGAUUAUCCCACAACAAAAGUCCUCUCCCUCUUUGGGACAGAAGGGCAGGGGAGGUGCUCAGGGAUGGAGUUGGAGUUCUGGAGCUUCCCAUCUUACCAUUGACAUUUCCAAGUCUAUCACUGGACUUAAGACAGAAUAGGACCAUCAUAGAGAUGUUAAUUUGAAAUGGAUCCUGCCAGCCUGACCAGAGUCCCAGGCCUGGGAACUCUUAACAGGAUGGGGACAGAUUUCAGAGUAAUGUGAUUUGUCUGCCAGGAAUCCACAUGCUUAGUGGUCCAUCUCCACUGGGGCUGGGCUUGGGUCAUUCAGAUGUCUAUCCAGGAUCUGGCCCGCAGAAAACAUCACCGAAGAAAUAGAUUUUUCACAGUAGCCUGGGAUUUGAGGGGAAAACACAUUAGACAUAACCGCUGUGUGGAAGAGAUGCACAGACUGGGCCAGUGAGUGUGAACCCCUGGGUAAAAGAUGGAAGAGAGAAGAACCAACAGGACCCGCACAGGGCAGAGUACCAGAGGGGACUUUCAGAAGAUAUGUUAAUGAAGGAAACUGAAAUCUCAAACAGCCAUCCUGCCUAAGUCCUCACGCCUAUGGCUGCUGUAUCCCUAGUAUGUAGGCAGUAUAUCUUAGUUAGGGUUUUAUUACUGUGAAUAGACACCAUGACCAUGACAACUCUUCUUUCUUAUUUAUUUAACUUUUAUUCUUCUCUCAUACAGCAGUCUCCCUUCCCAUUCCUUCCAUCUGCUCCCCCCACCUUCCCUCUCCCUCAGAUCAACUCCUUUUCUGUUUCCCUUGAGAGAGGGAGAGAGAGAGAGAGAGAGAGAGAGAGAGAGAGAGAGAGAGAGAGAGAGCAGGCCUCUCAGGGAUAUCUACCGAACAUGGCCUAAUAUAAGAUAUAAUAAGACUGGGCACAAACCCUCAUAUCAAGACUGAACAAGGCAAACCAUUAGGAGGAAAAGGGUCCCAAGCUCAGGCCAAAGAGCCAGAGACACCUCCCACUCCCAUUGUUGUGAGUCCCAUAAGAACGCCAAGCUACACAACCCAAAAGGCAUAUGCAGAGGACCUAGUUCAGACCCAUACAGGGUGGACUAUGACAACUCUUACAAGGGAAAACAUUUCAUUGGAGCUGGCUUACAGGUUCAGCGGUUUAGUCCAUUGUCGUCAUGGUGGGAAGCAUGGUGGUGUGCAGGCAGACAUGGUGCUGGAGAAGGAGCUGAGAGUUCUACAUCUGGAUAGGCAGGCAGCAGGAAGAGAGAGCGACAUUGGGCCUGGCUUGAGUAUCUGAAACUCCCAGGGACACACCUCCUCCAACAAGGCCACACCUCCUAAUAGUGCCGCUCCCUAUGAGCCAAUGGGGGCCAUUUUCAUUCCAACUACUACACAGUAAGUAAGGUUUACAGUUAGGGUUGUUUCUUACUUCUGUCCCCCACCAUGAUGACAAUUUUCAUUCUGUCUUAAGGCUCCAGGUCCUGGACUUGGAAGUGGGGACAGUUUUGCUUUCAUGAGCCAUGGCCAGUAUCAGGGGCCUGAGUCUAAAAUGGAGCACACAGCUUUGUACAAGGAAUACCACUCUCUGGAUGGAUGGAGGUGUUCGUCUGAAUAGAUGCUGGGCUGUCAGGGGUAUCACAGUGCUCUCUGAUUCCUCAGAGGUGGGCCAGGGCCUUAGAUUUCUCCUUCACACUGAAUCUGGGAAUUACAAUGUUUAUUCUAAAGAAUUGGCUCUCAUCUAAAUUUUAUAUAUUAAAAUUCUUAAGAUUAUUGAAAUUUCCUAUUUGGAACUUUGAGUAUCUGGAUCUCGGCUGUGUGUUGGAGGAGGGAAGGGAGCACACAUAAAUGGUCUUGUUUGAGGACUAUGUAAUAGUCAGGACUAUGUGACACAAACUACUUACGAGAAGAGGUUGACGUUUAUUGUUACCUGACCUCAUUGUUUUGGGCCUGUAGGGAGGCAGAAUGUCACAGUCGGGGGAGACUAGGCAGAGCAAAACUGUUUUCCUCAUGGCAGUUCAUGGCAGCUGGAGAGAGGGAGGGAAGGAGGAAAGGAGGAGAGAGAUAGAGAUAGAGAUAGAUAGAUAGAUAGAUAGAUAGAUAGAUAGAUAGAUAGAUAGAAUAUGACUGUGGUCACAACCCCUGUGACCUAACUUCCUUCCCCUGGGUCCCCCCUCCUAAAGAGUCUCCCACCUCCUGGUACUGUCCCUCACUGGCAAUGAGGCUGUCAGUCCAUGGCUUUGGGGGGCAUUUAAGAUUCAUAAAAUUCUAACCACAUGGCUGCUAAGGUUAUUAUGAAUCAGAGCAUUUGGAUAAUGAUAGUUUUGUUCUUCAGUCCUUUGAGGCUUACAGCCCUGCUAGGAACGAAGCUGAGUAGGUUUUCACUUUGUCUUCUCUCUCUCCCUCCCACUAGACUGCACAGUGGAAACACAAUGGGCUACAUACAAUGGGUCUUGGAUGCUAUUCCCCAUGGCUGUAUAUGCUCGGUGUAGGGAACCAUGGUAGAUCUUAAGAGAAGGAGCCAUAGCCCCAGGCAGGACAUUCUUCUAGAGAAGGAGAGCUUGGAGUAAGGAGUGUCCAACUCACCCAGAGAAAAAGAACUCAUAUAGCUCUGCCCAUUGCUUUCCAAACUGAACCAUUUACUUUUUUUCUUUUUUCUUUAGUCCACCAGGGUGCGCUGGGUGCCUCUGGUCUCUGCCGCCAGUUCCUAAAAUUGCCACUGGGUGGCACUGCUUCCCGCACGUGUAGUGCUGUUUCAGACCAAGCAUGUAACCUUAGUCCUCCCCAAAUCUGGACCCAGAGUCAGUAGCCCAGCUUCUGGGUGUGCGUUCUUGGAAGCUUGGUCCGUGGCUACUGGGGCUCAAAGCCUAGAACUGGGAGAGAGCUCAUGAUCACUUAAGAGAGAGCAGGUGGAUGGAUCAGGAUAUUGGAGGUUAGGUGGAGUCUGGGGACAGAGAAGGGGGCUUGAAGCUCUGACAAGGUAAUUCCUCUCCAUUCUCUCUGGCGUGUAUUGUGCUGUACAAUUGCAUUGAAACAGCAGAAGAGAAAAUGGGCCCUGCACACAGACCAGUGACCUGGAUGGAGGCCAGUUUUCCUUAACUAAAUAAGCAGAUAGCGCUUUGCAUAUGCCAGGUACUUCACAAGUAUUCACUCAGUUCUCACAAUGCCAUGCACUCCAUUUUACAGCUGAGGACACUAAGGCACAGGUUACAGUAGUUAAUAAGUGGAGGACCCCAGACAGCCUUCUCUUGCGGCCCCUGUUCCCUCGGAGGAUGGGUAGAAUGUUCUGGGGAGGGAGGAAGAAGGGCUUGGUCUCUGCAUUUCUUUAGAUAGUUACAGCUUUGAUGCCUUUCAGCUCCGUUCACCCCUCAUUCAUUCAAGCAGUGCUGCAGGGCUUCCUGUGGGCCGGGGGCUUGACCUAGUGGGGCCUGAUUUGUCAGCCAUACCAACGACAGUCACCAAAGUGUGUGUUCUAGAGACAGGAACUCAGCCCUUCUGUCUUAGUUUGGGUUUCUGUCACUGUGAAGAGACACCAUGACCAUGGCAACUCUUAUAAAGCAAAACAUUUAAUUGAGGUGGUGGCUUAUAGUUUCAGAGGUUCAGUCUAUUAUCAUCGUGGCGGGAAGCAUGGCAGUGUGCAGGCAGAUGUGGUGCUGGAGGAGAAACUGAGAGUCCUACAUCAUUCAGGCAAAAGGAAGUCAACUGAGACACUGGGCAUAAGAAAACUCAAAGCUCCCCCACCCCCACAGUGACACACUUCCUCCAACAAGGCCAUAUCCAUCCAACAAAGCCACACUUUCUAAUAGUGCCACUCCCUAUGAGAUUAGGGGGCCAAUUACUACACUUUCCUAUCUGCAGACCCCUUCCUCCUGGUUCGGUGGCAGCCCCUCCCCCUCCUGAGCCCAUGUGGCAUAUUUGAGCCCAGUUACAUUUGCCCAAGAUGCUAUUAUUGUUAAGGCUCAGGACAUAGAUAGUAGCUGGACUACUGGCAGAGUCCUUUGUGACUUAGAAGGCAGGUGGCAUCCACAGUCUUUUUUUGGCCUUGUCUGCAGUGGCUGGCGUGAGUCUCCUGGGGAAGACAACCUCACAGAGAGGAACCUUCAUUCCAUACAAGGUGUCACAGGGUCUUUUCUGGAAAGGUCUUUGGUUUCUGACUUGAGUUUGCAUCCAGGCCGUUUACCUGACUUCUGCUUUUGUUGCCCACAUACUGGUGGAUACCAAGCUCCCAGCGAGUAGAGAUAUUCAGAAGAGACCGUGUGAACCCGUUUCCCAGUGUCACGGAAGUCUCUCUCGCUAGUGUGGCUGUGGAGAUGUGCCAGAUACUAUUCCAGGUACCUGAAACAGGGCAGGAGAUGGAUGCAACCAGGACAGACGAGGUCUCGAGUGUCUGUGGGCCACUUCUAUCCCAUUGCCUCCUGGGGUUCCCAGGGCUGUGGGUAAGCUCACACAUCCCUCAGUGAGGCACUUGGUGCUUGUUGGCAUCAGCCCCUGACAAUGCUUUCAGUCUCACAUCUCCUACCUCCUACCCGUGAUGACCAGAGUAAAGCUCUGGCUUUGGUGAGCACUUUGCAUUCUCCCAACAGCUUGGAACACUAUCCUUUACCUUCUCCAUCAGUGUCAUGGCCCCAGUGCAAAGCACCCCACACGGAGCAUCGCACAUGGGGGAUGCUUCUUCAUCAACUCUCCAGUCCCAUGGGGUUGAUGCGCUGUGACAACCCGAAGAAGCCUCUCCCCUGCAGAACAGAGUCUGCGGUCUCCAAAUUUAACUUCUGCAAGCCCCUGAGGUCCCCAGAGUCACCUCCUCACGUCUUCUGUCCACACUGUCCGGUUGCAACCAAUGCGAAGUCUUCAAAACAGCGACGGAGCUAAGGAGGGCGGUGGUGACGUCUUCUCCGGCUGGUCGAACAGCUGCAUUCACGCUUGGCCCUGCAGUGGCUUGGCUUCAGCAGCAGCCAUGGUGUUCGCAGCCGUUCAGGGAAGCAGGAGCUGCAGAACAUUUCCCUACUGUGCUCAAGUGUACCAGCAGCCGGUCUGAGUCUCUGCAAAUUCAUGACCACGGGGAGGUAAUUUGGGGGCUGAACCUUCCGAGGUACCUACUAGAAGUGAGGAAGCGGUAUAGGUGAGGCACAAGCUGGAGGUCUUGGGGCUCAGGGUGAUGCUUCUCUCUCUCUCUCCACGGUGCUUUCAAGGAGAGUUAGUUAGGAAGGUCUUCAAAAAGGAGGAAGAAGAGGAGGAGGAGGAGGAUGCUGCCGUGGCCUCUUGCCACCUGACCCAGAUUCCCCAAGGAAUCAUAUCACAUGAAUAAUUAACCUUUCGGCAAGCCAAGGAACUGAUCUUCAGCGAGCAGAGAUUUCAUGAAAAUUUAAAGACCCGAAGCUGAAGCAGGCGCUGUGUGUUGUUUUCAUGAUGGCUUAGACAUCUUUGAAAACCCAAAGUCCCAAGGUCUGCCCUUGGGUCCUACUGUGACAUCAGCAUGGGCUUC